Molecule: ribosomal RNA, 253 nt
Filed under: uncultured bacterium
Lineage: Bacteria
Description: partial 16S ribosomal RNA
Rfam family: Bacterial small subunit ribosomal RNA
Source: RNAcentral
UACGUAGGGGCCGAGCGUUGUCCGGAGUUAUUGGGCGUAAAGCGCGCGCAGGCGGCCUCGCGCGCCCGACGUGAAAGCCCCCGGCUUAACCGGGGAGGGUCGUUGGGGACGGCGGGGCUUGAGGGCGGGAGAGGUCGGUGGAAUUCCCGGUGUAGUGGUGAAAUGCGCAGAUAUCGGGAGGAACACCAAUUGCGAAGGCAGCUCGCUGGGACGUCACUGACGCUGAGACGCGAAAGCGUGGGGAGCAAACAGG